Molecule: ribosomal RNA, 380 nt
Filed under: uncultured eukaryote
Lineage: Eukaryota
Description: partial 18S ribosomal RNA
Rfam family: Eukaryotic small subunit ribosomal RNA
Source: RNAcentral
CAAUAGCGUAUAUUAAAGUUGUUGCAGUUAAAAAGCUCGUAGUUGGAUUUGUGGCGUACGGUGGGUUCCGGGCACUUGUUGUCUGAGUAACUUGCUGUUGCCAUCCUUGGGUGGAACCUGUGUGGCAUUAGGUUGUCGUGCAGGGGAUGCCCAUCAUUUACUGUGAAAAAAUUAGAGUGUUCAAAGCAGGCUUAUGCCGUUGAAUAUAUUAGCAUGGAAUAAUGAGAUAGGACUUUUUUGCUAUUUUGUUGGUUUGCGCAAAGAGGUAAUGAUUAAUAGGGACAGUUGGGGGUAUUCGUAUUCCAUUGUCAGAGGAGAAAUUCUUGGAUUUUUGGAAGACGAACUACUGCGAAAGCAUUUACCAAGGAUGUUUUCAUUAA